GCUGCAUGCUGAUGCCCUCCAGGAGGAGGAGGAGGAGUUUGCUGGUGUGGCACAACCUGUGAGGUGUGGACCAUGUGUGGGGGCUGCUCUUUGCUCUGGUGAGGCACUUCAGUCAUCUCUUCAGACUGCUCUGCAGCUCUCUGAGAUUGAGUUGUCCUGAAGGAUCCAACCAAGCCUGUCGCAUAUGGCAGCCAUGAGAGCACUGUGCCUGGAAGAGUGAGCUACGGAAGCACAGCCCAUUUAUCCUUACUCCAAAUGUUCCAUUUUUUUCCAUAUUUAUUGCACAUUCAUUCCAUUUUCUUCCUGGUUUUAAUUGGAAAAAGAAAAAAAGUCCAAGUGGACCUGUUUUUUUUGUAGGAAUAACAGGAAGACAUUCUGAAAUAAAAAUGUUCUUGCAAUUUCCCAAAACCAAACGCAGCUCAGUUUCCAGUCAGAAUCAGAGACUUGUGAAUCUUGUUAACGUGAGCUACAUUUCAGCUGAAGAACAAGUAAGGUGCCACCGUACUUUCAUUUCGUCUGUAUUAAAUUUCGUCCCUCACUAUCUGCCCACCGUCAAUGGCAGACAAAUCUUCGUUGCCAAAAGAAGCAUAUAAUGUAGAUCAGAGACUGCUAGCACCAUGCUGAUAUCCUUUUAUGAUGGCUUCAUAUAUAUGCUGAAUAGAGGAAUUCUUGGUAAUUUGUCAUCCUUUGGGAUCUCUGAGCUACCGAAAGGUGCUGACCUUUGCCAUGCAAUAAAAAUGAAACAGGCAAUAGGCAACCCUGUAGAUAAUAAUGCAUUCUAAUAUAUCUACAUUAUCUACCCCCAUGCUGAAUUUAUGGCUCUUUUCCAUGUCUGGAGAUGACAGAUAAUACCAAAGCUGCUUUAUUACAACUUUUGGCUUCCUGCCAAAAUUAGAGCAUCUAAAAAUAGAUCCGUAAUUAUGAUCUGCCUCUGAAGUCGCUGUCUGGAACAUGAGUCCAGAAGCUGCUGACAGCAGCCAACAGUGGGUGCCCAGACAGAGCAACAGAACAAGCGUGUAAGGAUGGUCCCCCCAGGGACUUUUCUCAACCUGCAACAAUUUGCAGCUCACCAACUUCUUGAGAGGUAAAACAGCCCUUAAAGAAACUUUCUUUUAUGAAUUUGUCCAUUCUUUUUGUUAAGUCUAUAUCAAGCCAAAAAUAUCACCAAUAUGGGUCACUUCUAUUUUUCUUCUCUGAUCAAGCUCUUUCCCACUGGAUUGGUGGGAAGGUGAUGUAUUUAUUUUUUAUGACUCAGGUGGAAAGGACUCUCUUUACAGGGCUGGAUGGCCAGGUUUGUGGUGAAAUAGCUGCUAUAAUUCUGCUUGGGUUUCCUAUUAUCACUAAUGAUUUGCUAGGGCACUUGAAGCCUGCAAUGCAAUCCCUUAAAAAGAUUUUAAAUCUAAACACAUUCAAAAAACUGUACAUUCACUCAGCAUGGCUUACGUUCCUAUUUUCUGACACUACAGCCCUAAUUCUUUUGACAUUCUGAAGUCUGUCCCUGUGGGCGAUUAACAAUGCCACCAUCAUCAAGAACUACAGGCCCUGAACGGGAACUUGCACAGCAGUGCCCUGAAAGUGGGGAGUGUUCAGUGGCUGUAGAAACCUCAUCUGCAUGAGACUGUCUUGCUCUUUUGCUUUCGUUUCCAUCUCUUGCCAUCCAUGGAAGUUAAUUACUUACAUUAAUUAAUAGAAACUUUGUGCCAAGCGAACUCUGCCGGGUGAGGGGGGUCAGCUGAAAGCAACUUUUUCGUUUUCAAUGGGAGUCCAGUGAUGGACUUCGGCUAUAGAAGUUGGGGGGGAAGGAUGCAAAACAAUCUUUCCUCUUUUCAAGUCAGAUUUUUGUUGGCAGAUAAUUUACACUGACUGGCAAAUGGUACCAAAAUGGAUGCAUAUUUUUGUAUAUUUGUUGCUGUCUUACAAGCUUUCAGACGCUUUAUUGAAAUCAUGUGUAUUGAGGUGAUAUUUGUCUAUGAUUUUAUAGAAUACAUAAAUGCACAAUGAUGCUUAUCCAUGAUGGUCUUAUCACAUAGUGCUGCAUAAUCAACAGACACCUAAAGAUCGGAUGCUCUAGAAAAAACAUAAUAGAUGAGGCAUGAUUUUAAACAAGAAUAAUUAUCCCAAUAUAAUGCCUCAUACAGACUCGCUUAUUUCCAUGUAAAUGUGUGGUUUUUGUCUUGAGUUGUGUAACUUUGGAUGGUAUUAUCCUGGAAUGAAAGCAACUGUAUGUCAAUUAAAUUAAGUUCCUAUAACAAAGUUAUCUGUAGCAGGGGAGGUUUAGGUUGGAUAUUAGGAAGAAGUUUUUCACAUAGUGGGUGGUGACACACUGGAACAGGUUGCCCAAGGAAGCUGUGGAUGCCCCAUCCCUGGAGGCAUUCAAGGCCAGGCUGGAUGUGGCUCUGGGCAGCCUGGUCUACUGAUUGGCGACCCUGCACAUAGCAGGGGGGUUGAAACUCGAUGAUCAUUGUGGGCCUUUUCAACCCAGGCCAUUCUAUGAUGAUUCUAUGAUUCUAUGAAUCCGUUCCCACCAGAUCAUGUCUAUAUUACAAGUUCACUGGCACACACCUUCAAUGAGCUAGGGAGCACUCAUUCUCAUUCAUGCUGAGGGAUGACAGAAAAAGAAAGUGGAAGGCAGUACAAUAUAUUCAAAGAGCUUUUUUAGAUGAACAGUUUGUGGAACAAUAUAAAUGGCAGCAGAAGCAUGAUGCUUUGCUUACCUGAUUUUAUGAAGCCUUCCUAGAAAGUGUGAUGUGACGGGGAGAUCCUGCCCUUCAGAAGUUAAUGGGAAGCAUUUCAGCGUUGCUACAGGGGCAGGAUUUUUGUCUGUUGGUAUCCUGUUCCCAUCCUUCCUCCUCUCCUGCACUCGAACAGGAGACAAGGAACUGUAUUGCUGUUAUUUCAGCUGUCAUUUCAAAGGAAGGAGACUGGCUUAAUUCCCUAUCACCAGGUCAGUUAACUGGUUGGUGGUCAUAAAGGAUAACAAUUUUUAUUGUUUAAUUUAGACAUAGGCUAGAAUAAAAUAGUUUGAAUUUUCUCAGAAUAUGAUCUGUCUCUUGGAUGAAGAAGCAUAAAAGCUUCUUUUAAUAGGAAGUUGUGGCUUGAGUCACAACUGGAGAAAUCCCAGCACCUAAAGUCACUGAAAUAAAACUUCUCUGUGUAGCCAAAAGCGAAACAUGUUCUGUUCUUUGUAAGAAUUGUGAGCCAUGUUAGGUGCAUUGUAUCCACGUCAGUUUUUGGAACAGAGGUUAAGCUCCUAGUUAGAGACUGUUAAAACAGGGCUUGGGAAAACUGAGAAAUAGAUAGUGCUAACUGGUUGUGGCUAAGAGCAAAAGCUGUCUUUAGGAUCUACCAUUUCUUCAGGAUGCUGCAGAACUUUAUAGCUUCAGCAGACACUGUAACCACCAUACACCAAAAAUGCAUGUUUUGGCAUCUUAAUAAACAUUUCCUGGGGAAAUAUCCGACCUGUUUACAGAAAUUGAUUAGGUGGAGAGUUUGCCCAUGCUGGCACAGGAUACCUACCUCAACAGCAGUUGGCUAUUUUGUCUUAUGACUACACCCAAACCUCCUGAAGUCCAUCACCUGGCACUCUGGAAGGCAAAGCAGUUUUGUAGCACCAAUCUGCUGGUCACCUGACUGUGGGGAUAUGCAUGUGCUGACUAAUGGACCCAAAAGAGGCAAAGAGGUGGAACAGAAAGCCAUGGAAGGGAAUGCUUUUUUUGCUUUCAGAAGUUUUCAGAGACUGUAAUUACUGGCAGAGGCUCAGAAAAUGCAUGACCAGCCAAGAGAUGCAAUGAUUCUGCAGAUUCGGCGCUUUUCCGAAGUAUCUUUUUGUCAAAAGUUUUUCUGCAGCAACUUCAACAGAUUCAUUUUUUUUACAGUUGGUGGAGCUGAUGGGAUGAAGCCUAUCCAGCUCUUCUUUUGUCGAGGGCCAGCAUUUUUCACAGUGAAGACAUAAAAGCAGUAUCAGCAUAAUGUGGUUUUUUUGUUUGUUUGGUUGGUUUGUUGGUCUUCAAAACCUAUCCUUUUCAGGUUGGAUAUUGGGAAAAAUUUCUUUUCCAGAAGAGUGGUCAGGUGCUAGAACAGGUUGCCCAGGGAAGUGGUGAAGUUACAGUCCCUGGAGGUGUUCAGGGAACAUGUAAUGUGGUAUUUAGGGACAUGGUUUAAUGGGGGAAUAACGAUGGCAGGUGGACAGUUGGACUGGAUGAUCUUGGAGGUCUCUUCCAACCUUAACGAUUCUAUGAUUCUAUUAAAUCAGCAAAACUAACCUCAUCCAGCUCCAGUGUAAGGUACACUUAUACCAGUAUAAGACAUCUUCUGAGGAUUAAUGUAUGUUGUCUGGGAACAGGUUUAGUUUCAUGGAUAAAAGCCACUGGAAAUGGGGCAUGAACUUCUCUUCAGGUGCUGUGCCUGUGUUAGAUACCACAGCCAUCUACAGACCACUGUCUGGCAUGGAUUAGAUUCUAGACUGAAGAAGCCUGGCUCCAUCUUUCUGUCCCUUCCCCAUCCAAACUGUUACCAUGCAAGCAGCAGCCUGAGCUUGUCCAUCUUGUUACCUGAUGAAGCCCUUGGGAGAGUGCUGCAUUUGAACAUGCUCUGUUAGACCUGGCUUACUCUGCUCCCUCUGUAAGUUGCUGGUGUGUGUCUGCACCUUCAGUGAGUCGAAGCAACUCAAACAGCGCUGCUCCUGUUCAGCCCAGCUGAACUGAUCCACCUUUUCUCAUCUGGUCCUUUAACCAGCCCCUCUUUCUUUCUCCAACUUCUUUUCUCAUCCACAUUUACCAGUCUAGUGUUUUGAAUUUUUAUGCAGUCUGCUUUCAUAUUCUGUUAAAAAUGCAUCUCUGGUAUCAGGCACAUCAUUUUUAAGCCUCCAUCGUGCCAAGAGAGUUAGCAAAACAUCAGUUUUUCACUUCAGUUCCCAACCCAUAUGUUUUCAAGUAGCACCAGGGAAACAUUUUUUAAAGGACAGACUCCAGAGAUGUCUUCUAAUAUCAUCAGCAAUGAUAAUCAAAAGCUGCUUCUGUAGAAGCCUGCGGGAUUAUCAGUCUCUCAAAAGGAAAUUCAGCAACUUUUCUUGCAGUAACAUUUAUUCUCCACUCUUCCACCUCUAGCUAUCAUUCACCUCGAGGUGCUGACACCCGGGACAACUCCAUUUCCAUAUGUGUUACCUAUUUACAUGUCAGGAGGGACCCCUAAUCUGGGGCCACUGCCCCUCCUGACUUUUCAAGGGAAAUGUAACUCAAAUGCUAAUAGCAGCUCAUCAUAGUUGAUAGAUUAUUCAAGUUAUGCCUCAUUUGCAGUUGCAAGACACACCUCAGAGGAAAUUUUUUUUUUCUUCUCAAAUUUAGACAUAAUUUCAGCUAUUCACGACAUCCACACUAGGUCUGAGACUCCUCUACAAAGAAACACAUUCCAUUCUUCAAGCUAUUUUGACUAACUCUGCUCAGGCCCAGAGCUAAUGCAGCAUGUUCCUGCCCUGUGCCUGGCGGUGUGCUGGAUAUUUAGGAAUAUCCACCUAGCGAUCCUCCUUCCCGCACAUCUUCCUGCUGGUGACCUCUUUGUUACGGAGGGUAACAUCAGCAGAGCACAGAGGGGCAGGAGUGACAGUGGAUCUCCUGAAAAAAAUUCAUCCAAACAUUUUCCAGGAUUGCUUUAUCACCAGCAAUCUCUCUGUUGGCCAUUCUUCCAUUCCUCAGACAUCUUCAGACUUUCCAGACCCACUGGGAGCAGCUAAGUAUCACCUUGGCUGGGGGACAAAUGGAGCUGCAGAGCCCAGCAGUGCCCCACUGGUGCCUGCAACAGGAUGCCAGGUCCUUGUGCCUACCUCUUCCGGGAUAAGCUCCUGAGCAAAACGUAUUGGCCAUAGGAAAUCCUGUAAGGAUGAGAAUAUGACAAAAAGAGCAACAAACGACCCCGGUAAGGCCUGCUGGCUGCCCUUCCUUUCCUCGAGUGGCUGGAAGACCAGCCUGCAGUUACCUUUAGCACCCUGAAGAGAGCAUGGGCAAUGCCUGGGGCUGGUGCUUGUUAAGGCAGAAGAGCAGGAUCCGAUCACGGCCCGGGACUGGGCACACAUGUAGAACUGGAACAGGAGAAAUUGAAAUGGAAAUGAAGUGCCCUGGCAAUAAAUUUCCCAGCAGCCUAAUUUUCCCAGCGAUGACACCCUGGGCAGAGCCUGUGUGGCCCAGAAAGGAGCGGGUUUUAAAUUUUCUAAAAUUCGCUAAUCCGCUUUAUCAGCCGCCUCUCCCAAAACUGCCGCCGCUCCCUGAGAGAUUUAAAGCCGCUGUGGCUCCUCCAAGGCCUUUUCCUGAUUAUGAUGUUUAUUCUCAUCCAGUCAAGACAGAGCAACAUUAGCAUGUGAUUUACCGUGCGCGGCCAAUCGCAGAUACCAGCACUCAACAUCUGAAAUUCAAGCAGCAGCUCCUCGCAGUAAACUGGUCAGGAUCAAUCCGGAGAUAAGAAGGACGGCCCUACCUCUUUAGAAGGCAGUGGGGGUUCAUAUUCGAGGUCUGUCAGUCUUAUCCUGCUGAGCACAAUGCUCUGCAUCGCUCCUAGGAAUCAGUGCGGGCAAUGACAGCCGUGCAGUAUUAAUACGUGCCCCGGUGCUGGCUUUAAUUCCAUUCUUUUGUUUAGAUUUUUUUUGCUUGCAACCAUCCGCUUCUCCUCUCAGGUUUCAAGCCUUUGUAUAUAUCUGUCAAGCAGGCGGUGCAUUCGGGACAGGUUUUCAUGCCAAGGCAUUCUUUUACCUAAUGAAAACAAGUGAAUAAAACAUAAGAGAAGUUCUUUUAAAUUAAAAAUAGAGAAACAAAACUGAAGAAAGCCAAUACCUGAAGGAGAACAUCUAUUUUCCUAGAAAAAUGCCUGCUGAAUGGAUGAAUUUUUAUAUAUUUCUUCUAAUUUAGGAAUAUGCUUAUAAUUACACCCUAAUUAAAUAGGGAGAAAGGACCAUGUGUGGCAGCAGAGAAAUACAUGCAUGCAUGAAGAGUCAAGAAAAUCCAAGUAAACUUCUGAUAGCAAGACACAGCCAUGCAGAGCAGUGACUUUCCAAAACUGAAAUUUUGUCCCAAGGGCCCCCAGUCUGUAUUAUUAAUGCCAUUUUUCUUAGCCUGCAUUUUCAUUUCCAUUUGAGUGGGGGAGAAAACAAAGGCAAAAACUCCAGGAAGUUGGAAAGGACUGAGCUGCCUCUAAGCCACGAG
This is a long non-coding RNA of Gallus gallus (chicken), 7187 nucleotides long. Lineage: Eukaryota; Metazoa; Chordata; Aves; Galliformes; Phasianidae. The record is from Ensembl.